Molecule: ribosomal RNA, 466 nt
Filed under: uncultured bacterium
Lineage: Bacteria
Description: partial 16S ribosomal RNA
Rfam family: Bacterial small subunit ribosomal RNA
Source: RNAcentral
GAUGAACGCUGGCGGCGUGCUUAACACAUGCAAGUCGAACGGAAAGGCUCCUGCUUGCAGGGGCACUCGAGUGGCGAACGGGUGAGUAACACGUGGGUGAUCUGCCCUGCACUUCGGGAUAAGCCUGGGAAACUGGGUCUAAUACCGGAUAGGACCAUCGUUUAGUGUCGGUGGUGGAAAGUUUUUUCGGUGUGGGAUGGGCUCGCGGCCUAUCAGCUUGUUGGUGGGGUAAUGGCCUACCAAGGCGUCGACAGGUAGCCGGCCUGAGAGGGUGUACGGCCACAUUGGGACUGAGAUACGGACCAGACUCCUACGGGAGGCAGCAGUGGGGAAUAUUGCACAAUGGGCGCAAGCCUGAUGCAGCGACGCCGCGUGGGGGAUGACGGCCUUCGGGUUGUAAACUCCUUUCGCCAGGGACGAAGCGAAAGUGACGGUACCUGGAUAAGAAGCACCGGCUAACUACGUG